CGUGUAGGCGGGGAUGCAAGUCAGAUGUGAAAUUCCGGGGCUCAACCCCGGCGCUGCAUCUGAAACUGUAUCUCUUGAGUGCUGGAGAGGAAAGCGGAAUUCCUAGUGUAGCGGUGAAAUGCGUAGAUAUUAGGAGGAACACCAGUGGCGAAGGCGGCUUUCUGGACAGUAACUGACGCUGAGGCGCGAAAGCGUGGGGAGCGAACAGGAUUAGAUACCCUGGUAGUCCACGCCGUAAACGAUGGAUACUAGGUGUAGGAGGUAUCGACCCCUUCUGUGCCGGAGUUAACACAAUAAGUAUCCCACCUGGGGAGUACGGCCGCAAGGUUGAA
RNAcentral lists this ribosomal RNA (332 nucleotides) under uncultured Bacillota bacterium. Its description in RNAcentral is "bacterial SSU rRNA". It matches the Rfam family "Bacterial small subunit ribosomal RNA", at positions 568 to 898 of the family's 1533-position model. Lineage: Bacteria; Bacillati; Bacillota. The record is from RNAcentral.